CCUACGGGAGGCAGCAGUGGGGAAUUUUGGACAAUGGGCGCAAGCCUGAUCCAGCUAUUCCGCGUGUGGGAAGACGGCCUUCGGGUUGUAAACCACUUUUGUAGAGAACGAAAAGUCUAUUGAUAAUACCGAUAGAUGAUGACGGUACUCUAAGAAUAAGCACCGGCUAACUACGUGCCAGCAGCCGCGGUAAUACGUAGGGUGCGAGCGUUAAUCGGAAUUACUGGGCGUAAAGGGUGUGCAGGCGGUUUUGCAAGAUGGAUGUGAAAGCCCCGGGCUUAACCUGGGAAAGCCAUACAUGACUGCAAGACUAGAGUGCGUCAGAGGGGGGUGGAAUUCCAAGUGUAGCAGUGAAAUGCGUAGAUAUUUGGAAGAACACCGAUGGCGAAGGCAGCCCCCUGGGACGCAACUGACGCUCAUACACGAAAGCGUGGGGAGCAAACGGGAUUAGAUACCCCUGUAGUC
RNAcentral lists this ribosomal RNA (465 nucleotides) under uncultured bacterium. RNAcentral describes it as "partial 16S ribosomal RNA". It matches the Rfam family "Bacterial small subunit ribosomal RNA", at positions 338 to 795 of the family's 1533-position model. The record is from RNAcentral.